Small RNA from Singulisphaera acidiphila DSM 18658, 46 nucleotides. It matches the Rfam family "Acido-Lenti-1 RNA". Lineage: Bacteria; Pseudomonadati; Planctomycetota; Planctomycetia; Isosphaerales; Isosphaeraceae. The record is from Rfam.
CCAGGGGCUUGCGCCUCUGGCUAGGAACGGUCGCCCCUUCGGGGCU